UGGGGAAUAUUGCACAAUGGGGGAAACCCUGAUGCAGCGACGCCGCGUGGAGGAAGAAGGUUUUCGGAUUGUAAACUCCUGUUGUUGGGGAAGAUAAUGACGGUACCCAACAAGGAAGUGACGGCUAACUACGUGCCAGCAGCCGCGGUAAAACGUAGGUCACAAGCGUUGUCCGGAAUUACUGGGUGUAAAGGGAGCGCAGGCGGGAAGACAAGUUGGAAGUGAAAUCCAUGGGCUCAACCCAUGAACUGCUUUCAAAACUGGUCGUCUUGAGUAGUGCAGAGGUAGGCGGAAUUCCCGGUGUAGCGGUGGAAUGCGUAGAUAUCGGGAGGAACACCAGUGGCGAAGGCGGCCUACUGGGCACCAACUGACGCUGAGGCUCGAAAGUGUGGGUAGCAAACAGGAUUAGAUACCCUGGUAGUCCACACCGUAAACGAUGAUUACUAGGUGUUGGGAGAUUGACCCUCUCAGUGCCGCAGUUAACACAAUAAGUAAUCCACCUGGGGAGUACGACCGCAAGGUUGAAACUCAAAGGAAUUGACGGGGGCCCGCACAAGCAGUGGAGUAUGUGGUUUAAUUCGACGCAACGCGAAGAACCUUACCAAGUCUUGACAUCCUCUGACGAACGUAGAAAUACGUUUUCUCUUCGGAGCAGAGAGACAGGUGGUGCAUGGUUGUCGUCAGCUCGUGUCGUGAGAUGUUGGGUUAAGUCCCGCAACGAGCGCAACCCUUAUGGUCAGUUACUACGCAAGAGGACUCUGGCCAGACUGCCGUUGACAAAACGGAGGAAGGUGGGGAUGACGUCAAAUCAUCAUGCCCUUUAUGACUUGGGCUACACACGUACUACAAUGGCGUUAAACAAAGAGAAGCAAGACCGCGAGGUGGAGCAAAACUCAGAAACAACGUCCCAGUUCGGACUGCAGGCUGCAACUCGCCUGCACGAAGUCGGAAUUGCUAGUAAUCGUGGAUCAGCAUGCCACGGUGAAUACGUUCCC
This 995-nucleotide ribosomal RNA is filed under the name uncultured bacterium. Its description in RNAcentral is "bacterial SSU rRNA". It matches the Rfam family "Bacterial small subunit ribosomal RNA", at positions 355 to 1375 of the family's 1533-position model. The record is from RNAcentral.